This 264-nucleotide ribosomal RNA is filed under the name uncultured bacterium. RNAcentral describes it as "partial 16S ribosomal RNA". It matches the Rfam family "Bacterial small subunit ribosomal RNA", at positions 90 to 354 of the family's 1533-position model. The record is from RNAcentral.
AGUUAGUGGCGGACGGGUGAGUAACGCGUGGAAAACCUGCCGUAUACUGGGGGAUAACACUUAGAAAUAGGUGCUAAUACCGCAUAAGCGCACGGGGCUGCAUGGCCCAGUGUGAAAAACUCCGGUGGUAUAAGAUGGACCCGCGUCUGAUUAGCUUGUUGGCGGGGUAACGGCCCACCAAGGCGACGAUCAGUAGCCGGCCUGAGAGGGUGGACGGCCACAUUGGGACUGAGACACGGACCAAACUCCUACGGGAGGCAGCAG